GUGGAUGUGUCCUAUUAUUUGGAUUCUAAGGUUUUUGCCAAGAUGUUUCACCGGGAAUAAUUCAUCUUGGGGGUUUGAACUACAGAUCUCUAAUUAGGAAAGAGCCUUCACCGGGAAGACAUUCUCAAUCCUAUUAAUUUAAACAAAGACUGUAAAUUGAAAGCUUGUAAAGCCUAACCUGGAUGGAGUGGAGGCCAUUGAAGAAAAGAAGUGAAGAUGGACAAAGGUCACAUGGGUAUCUGAAGAGUUUCACCGGGAAUAAUGCCCUUCAAAUACCAG
Vicia villosa (hairy vetch) is the source of this 279-nucleotide long non-coding RNA. RefSeq lists it as uncharacterized. The record is from RefSeq and is a predicted model, not a curated record. Lineage: Eukaryota; Viridiplantae; Streptophyta; Magnoliopsida; Fabales; Fabaceae. The transcript is spliced from 3 exons.